This 316-nucleotide ribosomal RNA is filed under the name uncultured Thelephoraceae. RNAcentral describes it as "eukaryotic LSU rRNA". The record is from RNAcentral. Lineage: Eukaryota; Fungi; Basidiomycota; Agaricomycetes; Thelephorales; Thelephoraceae.
CGCACCUUGCGCUCCUUGGUAUUCCGAGGAGCAUGCCUGUUUGAGUGUCAUGAAAUUCUCAACUGCCUUUUAGCAUUUAUGUUAAGGUGAAGUUGGAGUUGGAGGAUAACUGCUGGCGCAACUUAGGUUGCUUGUUAGCUCCUCUUAAAUGGAUAAGCUUUUCUGAUAGAUUAUAGCUCAGUAAUAUUAAUGUGAUAAUGAUCUACAUUAUAUGUGAAAGCUAUAAGUAGAGUUUAUGGAGAAGCUCUCUAUAGAAAGGGUAUAAUAACUUGACAAAUCUGACCUCAAAUCAGGUAGGACUACCCGCUGAACUUAA